This 424-nucleotide ribosomal RNA is filed under the name uncultured bacterium. Its description in RNAcentral is "bacterial SSU rRNA". It matches the Rfam family "Bacterial small subunit ribosomal RNA", at positions 355 to 796 of the family's 1533-position model. The record is from RNAcentral.
UGGGGAAUCUUGCACAAUGGAGGCAACUCUGAUGCAGCGACGCCGCGUGAGCGAUGAAGCCCUUCGGGGUGUAAAGCUCUUUCGACGGGAAAGAUAAUGACGGUACCCGGAGAAGAAGCUGCGGCUAACUACGUGCCAGCAGCCGCGGUAAUACGUAGGCAGCGAGCGUUGUUCGGAAUUACUGGGCGUAAAGAGUGUGUAGGCGGUGCUCCAAGUCUGGUGUGAAAUCUCCCGGCUUAACUGGGAGGGUGCGCCGGAAACUGGAGUGCUCGAGGGUGGGAGAGGUAAGCGGAAUUCCUGGUGUAGCGGUGAAAUGCGUAGAUAUCAGGAGGAACACCUGUGGUGUAGACAGCUUACUGGACCACUUCUGACGCUGAGACACGAAAGCGUGGGUAGCAAACAGGAUUAGAUACCCCGGUAGUCC